Molecule: ribosomal RNA, 634 nt
Filed under: Sistotrema raduloides
Lineage: Eukaryota; Fungi; Basidiomycota; Agaricomycetes; Cantharellales; Hydnaceae
Description: partial small subunit ribosomal RNA
Rfam family: Bacterial small subunit ribosomal RNA
Source: RNAcentral
GCUCGAAAGAGUGAACGAGCUAACUGAAAGAAUAAAUCAUCUAACGUAAGGACAGGGCUUAAACGCCCAGUAGUACUAUUAUUCAAUAGCUAAUAUACUUAAGUGUUAAGUAGCUAUCUGAGGAGAAGUACUCUGAUUAAUCAACCUUACUAAUAGUGUCGUCCAAAAUCUGGUGCCAGAAGACUCGGUAACACCAGAGACGCGAACGUUAAUCAUCUUGAAUGGGCAUAAAGGGUUUGUAGGCAGCUUUAAGUUAAAAUUAAUUCAAUUUAAAUUCAAAGGAAAUAGCUUUAUUCUUAUUCUUUUAAAUCUAAAGUCGAAUAAAAUUUAACAUCAAUAAUUAAAGAUAGAAUCUAAUAGAGGUUAAGGAAAUACUUAGUGGAGGGGUUAAAUCCUAAGAUACUAAGUGGAAAACUAGAAGCGAAGGCUCUUAUCCUUAAAAGAUUGACGCUGAGAAACGAAGGUUGGGAUAGGAAAUAGGAUUAGAGACCCUAGUACCCCCUACUGUAAACGAUGAAUGGUAGUUGUUUACCCUCUUGGAGUAAGUGACGAAGUGAACUACGAUAACCAUUCCGCCUUGCUAGUAUACUUGCAAAAGUGAAAACAAAAAAAUUAGUCGGUCCUAAAGCAAACG